GUAACGGCGAGUGAAGCGGCAACAGCUCAAAUUUGAAAUCUGGCCCCCGGGUCCGAGUUGUAAUUUGCAGAGGAUGCUUCGGGCGAGGUGCCUUCCGAGUUCCCUGGAACGGGACGCCACAGAGGGUGAGAGCCCCGUCUGGUCGGACACCGAGCCCGUGUGAAGCUCCUUCGAAGAGUCGAGUAGUUUGGGAAUGCUGCUCAAAAUGGGAGGUAUAUGUCUUCUAAAGCUAAAUAUUGGCCAGAGACCGAUAGCGCACAAGUAGAGUGAUCGAAAGAUGAAAAGCACUUUGAAAAGAGGGUUAAAAAGUACGUGAAAUUGUUGAAAGGGAAGCGCCCAUGACCAGACUUGGGCCCGGUGAAUCACCCGGCGUUCUCGCCGGUGCACUUUGCCGGGCACAGGCCAGCAUCAGUUUGGCGCGGGGGACAAAGGCUUCGGGAACGUGGCUCCCUCGGGAGUGUUAUAGCCCGCUGCGUAAUACCCUGCGCCGGACUGAGGUACGCGCAUCGCAAGGAUGCUGGCGUAAUGGUCAUCAGCGACCCGUCUUGAAACACGGACCAAGGAGUCGUCUUCGUAUGCGAGUGUUCGGGUGUCAAACCCCUACGCGGAAUGAAAGUGAACGCAGGUGAGAGCUUCGGCGCAUCAUCGACCGAUCCUGAUGUUCUCGGAUGGAUUUGAGUAAGAGCAUACGGGGCCGGACCCGAAAGAAGGUGAACUAUGCCUGUAUAGGGUGAAGCCAGAGGAAACUCUGGUGGAAGCUCGCAGCGGUUCUGACGUGCGAAUCGAUCGUCAAAUA
Molecule: ribosomal RNA, 796 nt
Filed under: Cordyceps tenuipes
Lineage: Eukaryota; Fungi; Ascomycota; Sordariomycetes; Hypocreales; Cordycipitaceae
Description: partial large subunit ribosomal RNA
Rfam family: Eukaryotic large subunit ribosomal RNA
Source: RNAcentral